RNAcentral lists this ribosomal RNA (92 nucleotides) under Paenibacillus hunanensis. The record is from RNAcentral. Lineage: Bacteria; Bacillati; Bacillota; Bacilli; Caryophanales; Paenibacillaceae.
CACACGUACCCAUCCCGAACACGACCGUUAAGCCCUCCAGCGCCAAUGGUACUUGGACCGCAGGGUCCUGGGAGAGUAGGACGUCGCCAAGC